This is a long non-coding RNA of Columba livia (rock pigeon), 1034 nucleotides long. RefSeq lists it as uncharacterized. Lineage: Eukaryota; Metazoa; Chordata; Aves; Columbiformes; Columbidae. The transcript is spliced from 2 exons. The record is from RefSeq and is a predicted model, not a curated record.
CUAAAUAUGCUGGCAAGUACUUUUGCCAUGAAACUCCCAAAAGCUUGGAUCAUGGUCCUUGAAAGGAGAUAAAGAUCCAUGGUUUUGGAUUCAGAGCUUUGAACCACUGUUUCCUUCUUUCAGUGAAGUCUCUUACUCUUUCCUCUGCUUAUUCUGUCUCCCAAGGCCAGCCUAGCUGUGACCUGUUGGUCUCCCUCCCUCUGCAGGGCAGGCAGACUGACUCCCGGCAGGAGUUUCGCCAUAUCCUUGUGUGUGUCCAUGGUGCUCCUUGUGAACCGCUUCCUUUUCUUCUUGAAACUCAUUAAAGUUUUGUUGCAUCUAAUCCUGAGUCUCCGAGUCCUCUUCUGCUCACAGAGAACACUUCCAUUUUGCUCAGGGAAAAAUAUGGAUCAAGGGGAAGGUGGGACUCCCUGCAGUGGAAAUUUGUCACUUGACACCACAGUAAAUCAGUUUCAAGUUUUCAUAGUUCAACUGACUGGAGUUGCUCUUGAGGGACAGUCAACUUAGUGACUUUGACAGUCUAUUUGCUUAGCUCUCCUUGGCAAAGACAUAGGCAUUUCUUAAGCAACAUUCUCUGCUCUUGCCAGUCACACCUGAUGUAUUCUCCGGCAACAGUCUGCAUUAGACCUAAAAGGGACUUUUGCCACUUAAAAUAAGCAAUUAAGAAUGAGGCAAUUAAGAAACCAAUGCACCCAGGAACUGUCACACACCCAACUACGUGCAGCGGGAAUCCGCCAUUCCCCGGCAAUGGUACUGGACCAUGGCAAAGGAGAACAAGACACCUGUAACUGAUCUCAUUCCCCUGGGCUUCCCAUCCCUCCCAGGGUGGGCACAUGGCCCCAUGUGCCAUUGUCUUCUCCACGUAUCUUCUCAACCCUGGUGGAAAAUGACCUCCGUUCUUCUUCCUCCUCAUAUUUCCUUGGUGAAGACCUGAUACACCGCCACUGUUGUGUCAAAAAUGAUGUAGAUUUUCCUUGCCUUGAGUAAAACAGUUUGUGUUGUCUGCUGGGUGACACAGUCAUUUUCAUGUUUGA